RNAcentral lists this ribosomal RNA (253 nucleotides) under uncultured bacterium. RNAcentral describes it as "partial 16S ribosomal RNA". It matches the Rfam family "Bacterial small subunit ribosomal RNA", at positions 524 to 776 of the family's 1533-position model. The record is from RNAcentral.
UACGAAGGGGGCUAGCGUUGCUCGGAAUUACUGGGCGUAAAGGGAGCGUAGGCGGAUAGUUUAGUCAGAGGUGAAAGCCCAGGGCUCAACCUUGGAAUUGCCUUUGAUACUGGCUAUCUUGAGUACGGAAGAGGUAUGUGGAACUCCGAGUGUAGAGGUGAAAUUCGUAGAUAUUCGGAAGGACACCAGUGGCGAAGGCGACAUACUGGUCCGUUACUGACGCUGAGGCUCGAAAGCGUGGGGAGCAAACAGG